UAGGGAAUCUUCCGCAAUGGACGAAAGUCUGACGGAGCAACGCCGCGUGAGUGAUGAAGGCUUUCGGGUCGUAGAACUCUGUUGUUAGGGAAGAACAAGUACGAGAGUAACUGCUCGUACCUUGACGGUACCUAACCAGAAAGCCACGGCUAACUACGUGCCAGCAGCCGCGGUAAUACGUAGGUGGCAAGCGUUAUCCGGAAUUAUUGGGCGUAAAGCGCGCGCAGGCGGUUUCUUAAGUCUGAUGUGAAAGCCCACGGCUCAACCGUGGAGGGUCAUUGGAAACUGGGGAACUUGAGUGCAGAAGAGAAAAGCGGAAUUCCACGUGUAGCGGUGAAAUGCGUAGAGAUGUGGAGGAACACCAGUGGCGAAGGCGGCUUUUUGGUCUGUAACUGACGCUGAGGCGCGAAAGCGUGGGGAGCAAACAGGAUUAGAUACCCUGGUAGUCCACGCCGUAAACGAUGAGUGCUAAGUGUUAGAGGGUUUCCGCCCAUUAGUGCUGCAGCUAACGCAUUAAGCACUCCGCCUGGGGAGUACGGUCGCAAGACUGAAACUCAAAGGAAUUGACGGAAGC
Molecule: ribosomal RNA, 574 nt
Filed under: uncultured bacterium
Lineage: Bacteria
Description: bacterial SSU rRNA
Rfam family: Bacterial small subunit ribosomal RNA
Source: RNAcentral